UUUCUUUGUUACUUCGCACCAAAGACAGAAGCAGAGCCUUCUUCCUCGACUACGCUCGCUACUUCUAUCAACGAUCAUCCAGCUUCAAGUUCUGCUUUCAUUAUUGAGAAUAUGGUUGUAGGAGUUUGCGUGGGUACUAUACCGAUUCACAGAAUAUAUAGGUGAAAUAUGUUUGCUUUCUUGGAAUCUCUCUCUCUCUCUCUCUCUCUCUCUCUCUCUCUCUCUCAUCUCCAAAACGCAAGAAAGCAGAAAUUUUUUCGGAGUAGUUUGUUCUCUCAACGAUUUGGUUUCAUUGCCUUUUCUCAAGGUAUGACUCUUGCUAUACGAGUUUGAGUACCACAAAAAAACUUCUUCAGAUGAAAAAAAAUUGUUUCUUUCCCUUGCUAUUAAUAUCAUUGAUUGUAUCCUCAACAUUUGAUUGAUUUUCUGCAAUCUCACAGCCCACUACCACCUCAAGAAAUGAAAAAGAAUAACUAGCUCUGCUUUUAUGU
This is a long non-coding RNA of Juglans microcarpa x Juglans regia, 491 nucleotides long. RefSeq lists it as uncharacterized. The record is from RefSeq and is a predicted model, not a curated record. NCBI's taxonomy places the organism in Eukaryota, Viridiplantae, Streptophyta, Magnoliopsida, Fagales, Juglandaceae. The transcript has 2 exons.